Molecule: small nucleolar RNA, 132 nt
Filed under: Drosophila mojavensis
Lineage: Eukaryota; Metazoa; Arthropoda; Insecta; Diptera; Drosophilidae
Description: snoRNA:GI25321
Source: RNAcentral
CCUGCAAGAAACGGAUUGUCUAGCGUAUUAAACACAGCGCCAGCACAUCUCAACACUUGCAUAGAUCAUUAGCGACAAUUGACGAAUGCGCUGCCAUCAGAUCGAUGGCUGGGCUAGUGUUGAUUGCUCACA